ACCGACUCCACUAUCGUAAUCUCCACUAGUCUAUACCCAACACCGUAAGAACGCUAACACUGGAUAAUUUAAGUUAGGCUACUUGGAGGCUAUGGCUAGUAGGCUAGUACUCAGGGGCGUUGCCUGGCGGGGAAAAGUGGUACUGAUUCUAAGGGCCCAGCCCAACGCAGCACGGCCCACGGCCCGCGGAUGGCAAUUAAUAAUAUAAUAUUAAUAUUCUUGCCUUUUUUUUUUUUUUUAAAUGUCUCAUUACAAAGAAAUGGUAAUUGGAAAUAAACGUAUUAAACUCACAACUGUCGAUUUCCAUAACGUUUUCGUUAGUUAAUUAACAUAUUGUCAUUUGGCCUUCCCCCUGAGCUCUUGCGAAAUGGUUCAGCCGCAACGCACGAUGCGUUGAAUCGAACAGCAUCCGAAAUGUGAGAUGCUGGCACUGGCAGCAGGUGUACAGAGCGGCUGGGCUGGCUGAGGUCAGGUCUUAACCACAUGAUGGUGAGCUGGUGGUGACAGCUACAGAAAUGAAGUCAGGUUGGCAAAAACUGAAGGAAAGACGGGAGAAAGAGGAGAGGGCCAAAAGAGGCAGGCAACUGGUCACUCAAUUAUUCGCCAAUAAAGAAGGAGGAGGACAAGAUCCGCCCACGGCCACCACGACUGGAUUCCAUUUCGGAGAAGGAGGUAAGCAACAUUAGUUUGGUAGGAUGUUAGUUGCUUUAGGAUGAAAGUUUUGAAUGAGGGUGCCUUCUAGGCUAGAUCAUAUUUCAGUAUUUAACGGUCAGUCGUUAGGUUCGAGAAAACAGAAUGUUUUUCUUUCUUUUACUGUAACUCUUGUUACUUGUAUAUUUGUAUUGAUGUCUACAAUGUGGAUCCAUUGAUAUUGUAUGCAAUUGCACUGUAAAUUAUGUUCUUUGUUUACAUUUUGAUUGUUACUUGGAGCUAUUUUUUGCACUUUAGACUUCAGCAAUUAAACUUUUUAUUCAUGAACAGUGUAAAUUGAGAUUUUUUUUCAUAUUGUUUGAAGCUGAAGUGUAAAUAUUUGUGUUGAUGUCAAGCAAUUGUAAUGUUAAUUCAGUUCCUAUAAGAGUCUAUCUUUUUAAUGUAUCUUUUUUAUGUACUAUUUAUGGAAUUUGAAAUUGUACUUGCAUAAUAAAUAUGUGUUUAAAGUAAGCAGAAACGGUGGAUUUUUUUGCAGUGCAUCAUGUCUUCUGAAAAGACUAUUGCAGUUAUACAAGGUAUGAAAUUGUGAGUACUCUUAUGGUUUCUUGGGGCUCUGGCUGUGAAGCAUCCACAGGCUUAUGCUGCCAUGUACUGGUUUAACAUUGUAAUGUACUCUCAAUUACAAAGCAAGGUCACUAACUACAUGAAUGGGUAAUCAAUAAUCAAACUGACAAUUGUAGUACAGUUUCAAGCUGCUUACAGACAAUUUUAGCAUAACAAUCAAAUUUCUGUAUUUGUGAAUCUGUACACACAGCUUUAUUUUCAACACAAAAUUCCAUUGGAUUUCCAUAGGUAUUUGUGUUGUGUGGAAAACAGUGUGUUUGGAUUUGCUGAAAAGUUGAUGUGUUGAAACCAAACUGGGUCAAGUCCAAUUUUAGCAUGAGAGAAGGACAUUGUUGUAAAAUUGUGUUUAAGCAGCUAUUGGACAAUAUGUAUAAGACUGCUGCCUAAAAGACAGUAGGCUAUAAAUACUUAGUUUAUUACUUGAAUUACAUGAUGUCACUAACUGAAUGAAAUACGUUUAAUAAGUAAGUUCAUACCCUUAUUUAAAGUCACACAAACCCAUACUCCAUGAAGGGGCAACGAAAAGUCUAACUGAAGUGCUAUUGUGAUGCUGGGCCAUGUUUACCAAAACAGUCGAUAGAUGUUGGGGGGGGCCCAAAAUUAGAAUCUUUCAUAGGGCCCAAAAUUCCUGGCAGCGCCCCUGCUAGUACUAUUUCAAGUUAAAACAGCUGACCACAUGAGGGCAAAAAACACAAAAGAUCUCGCCAAAGUACCAGCAAAUCUUAAGCAAUAAAUAUCGCAUCUUACCUUUAUCAACGUGCCAGUGGUCUGCAGAUGUAUCCCGCGGUGUAGCCUGCGUGCCUGCUGCCUAACCACAUCCAUUUAGUUCAACAGGUUUUCGCUCUGACACUGUCCAUCCAUGGUACUAGCAGUCUGGUGCUUUUUACCUAUGUAUUCAGGCUAAAAUUAAUUGACUGUUUGAUGCCUCAUCAUUGCAUACCAGCCAUAGAGUAUUGGUAUAUUAAUAUCUCAUUCAUUGUCCAAGUCA
Molecule: long non-coding RNA, 2263 nt
Organism: Gadus morhua (Atlantic cod)
Lineage: Eukaryota; Metazoa; Chordata; Actinopteri; Gadiformes; Gadidae
Source: Ensembl